RNAcentral lists this ribosomal RNA (383 nucleotides) under uncultured fungus. RNAcentral's name for it is "SSU rRNA". It matches the Rfam family "Eukaryotic small subunit ribosomal RNA", at positions 827 to 1208 of the family's 1831-position model. The record is from RNAcentral. Lineage: Eukaryota; Fungi.
CGUGCGGUUCUAUUUUGUUGGUUUCUAGAGUCGCCGUAAUGAUUAAUAGGGACAGUCGGGGGCAUUAGUACUCACAUGCUAGAGGUGAAAUUCUUGGAUUUAUUGAAGACUAACUACUGCGAAAGCAUUUGCCAAGGAUGUUUUCAUUAAUCAGGAACGAAGGUUAGGGGAUCGAAAACGAUCAGAUACCGUUGUAGUCUUAACAGUAAACUAUGUCGACUAGGGAUCGGGCGACCUCAAUUUUGAUGUGUCGCUCGGCACCUUACGAGAAAUCAAAGUUUUUGGGUUCUGGGGGGAGUAUGGUCGCAAGGCUGAAACUUAAAGAAAUUGACGGAAGGGCACCACCAGGAGUGGAGCCUGCGGCUUAAUUUGACUCAACACGG